Molecule: ribosomal RNA, 405 nt
Filed under: uncultured bacterium
Lineage: Bacteria
Description: bacterial SSU rRNA
Rfam family: Bacterial small subunit ribosomal RNA
Source: RNAcentral
UCUAGAGGCUUCGGCAAUGCCCGAAAGGGUGACCGAGCGACGCCGCGUGUGGGAUGAAGGGCUUCGGCCUGUAAACCACUUUUCUCUGGGAAGAAACUCCGGGUCGUGCACCCGGGGCUGACGGUACCAGAGGAAUAAGCCUCGGCUAACUCCGUGCCAGCAGCCGCGGUAAGACGGAGGAGGCGAACGUUGUUCGGAAUUAUUGGGCGUAAAGGGCGUGUAGGCGGAUCGGCGGGUCCGGCGUGAAAUCUCCACCACUCAACGGGGAGGUGCCGCUGGAAACUACCGAUCUGGAGUUCGGCAGAGGAGCGUGGAAUUCCGGGUGUAGCGGUGGAAUGCGUAGAUAUCCGGAAGAACACCUGUGGCGAAGGCGGCGCUCUGGGCCGACACUGACGCUGAGGCGCG